This 269-nucleotide ribosomal RNA is filed under the name uncultured bacterium. RNAcentral's name for it is "partial 16S ribosomal RNA". It matches the Rfam family "Bacterial small subunit ribosomal RNA", at positions 524 to 795 of the family's 1533-position model. The record is from RNAcentral.
UACGUAGGGCGCAAGCGUUGUCCGGAAUUAUUGGGCGUAAAGAGCUCGUAGGCGGUUUGUCGCGUCUGCUGUGAAAGCCCGGGGCUCAACCCCGGGUCUGCAGUGGGUACGGGCAGACUAGAGUGCAGGUAGGGGAGACUGGAAUUCCUGGUGUAGCGGUGAAAUGCGCAGAUAUCAGGAGGAACACCGAUGGCGAAGGCAGGUCUCUGGGCUAUGACGCUGAGGAGCGAAAGCAUGGGGAGCGAACAGGAUUAGAUACCCGUGUCAUC